RNAcentral lists this long non-coding RNA (853 nucleotides) under Homo sapiens (human). Its description in RNAcentral is "HSALNT0395784". Lineage: Eukaryota; Metazoa; Chordata; Mammalia; Primates; Hominidae. The record is from RNAcentral.
CGGGCCGCUCAGCCCGGCAUCCCCGGCUGGGGAGGGGGGCUGGGGGCGCGCGCUCUCCCCGCCCCCGGGCCCACGGCGCUGCGCUGGGGGAGGGGGCUCAGCCCCGGCCCCCCGCGCGCUGGCGUCGGCUCCGGGGGGGGCGCUGCGCGGCGGCCGGACCGGGGGCGCGCCGCGGCCGCAUCUCCUCCGCCCGCCGCGGCCGCCGCUGCGACUCGCGGCUCUGCCACCUCCGCCCCCCCUUUCCAGCAACCCCCCACCUCCCCAAAGCCGGGCUGGAGCCGCGCAAAACCCGGCCCGGAGCAACCGCGGCGCGGAGCGGAGGGCGGAGCCGGUGGGUGGCGUUUGGGUGGAAACUGAGACCCAGAGAGCCGUGACUUGACUGAUCCCACAGCCAGGAAAUGGUGGAGCCUGGAUUUGAACCCCAGCUUUUAAGAAGAAGGUGCCACUGUCCUGGAAGAACUCUCAGGACAGCAUUAGUGUCUCAGGGAUCCCCCUAAUCGGAGGGGCCUUAAGCCUAAUCAUGAUUGUCACUGAAGAUCCAGGAGGGCUUCCUGGAGGAGGAGGCAGCUCCAUUCUGAAAUGCCAAGGGUACAGCUUUAUUGGGACAGCCAGUGUCUCUGAAUAUGUAGGUUUUGCACAGAGCUUGUACUGCCCCAGGGCCUGUACACUGCCUGUCCCCUCUGCCUUGUGCACUCUUUCCCUAGAUGUCCAAAUGGCUCCUUUCCUCACCUACCCCAAAUCUCAAUUCCAGUGUUUCCCCAGCCUCCCCUCAUUUCAGUAAUCACUCUGCAGUGAGCUAGGAUUGCGCCACUGCACUCCAGCUUGGAUAAGAGAACAAGACCCUGUCUCUUAA